AUAGUAAAUGCACCGAGUUAAGGGAUUGACAUGCCACGCAAGUAUUUCUUGUACAUUUCUAAAUCAUCAGUUACUUCAAUCGCACAAUGUCAUCCUUUGAUGCCCUAAAAUUAACAGCCUGGUUUGGGGUCAAAGCCGUUCCAGGACGGUGAUAAGCAUACACGUCACCAACUAAACAACAACGCCCAUGACGUCAUUCUCCAUCACUUAACGAUCACGCUUCCGUACCACCUCGCAUCAUCCGCUCGCCACGUGGCAUGGAUAACAUAGUCAAAUCCGUCUGGUUUCCCAAAUUAUUCUAUGCCUUUCACUUUCAGCCACGCGUGCAGCAUGUCUUCUCUCUCCUCCCCUUUUUUUCCCCUGAGAAGCUUCUCUCUCCUCGCUUCAUUCCAGUGAAGUGGGGCCCAUUUCAUAGUGACAUGGACUUUUAAAACAAAUUAAGAUCGAUAGCCUGGAUAAUUAUCUUUUGACUCUACUUCUCUCAUGUUCUGCACCUGGGUUUUAAGAAUAUGUUUGAG
This 518-nucleotide long non-coding RNA is filed under the name Citrus x clementina. RNAcentral describes it as "Citrus clementina (C. clementina) long non-coding RNA (CCLE_LNC005733)". The record is from RNAcentral. Lineage: Eukaryota; Viridiplantae; Streptophyta; Magnoliopsida; Sapindales; Rutaceae.